RNAcentral lists this ribosomal RNA (484 nucleotides) under uncultured bacterium. Its description in RNAcentral is "partial 16S ribosomal RNA". It matches the Rfam family "Bacterial small subunit ribosomal RNA", at positions 30 to 507 of the family's 1533-position model. The record is from RNAcentral.
AUUGAACGCUGGCGGCAGGCCUAACACAUGCAAGUCGAGCGGAUGAAGGGAGCUUGCUCCUGGAUUCAGCGGCGGACGGGUGAGUAAUGCCUAGGAAUCUGCCUGGUAGUGGGGGAUAACGUCCGGAAACGGGCGCUAAUACCGCAUACGUCCUGAGGGAGAAAGUGGGGGAUCUUCGGACCUCACGCUAUCAGAUGAGCCUAGGUCGGAUUAGCUAGUUGGUGGGGUAAAGGCCUACCAAGGCGACGAUCCGUAACUGGUCUGAGAGGAUGAUCAGUCACACUGGAAUUGAGACACGGUCCAGACUCCUACGGGAGGCAGCAGUGGGGAAUAUUGGACAAUGGGCGAAAGCCUGGUCCAGCCAUGCCGCGUGUGUGAAGAAGGUCUUCGGAUUGUAAAGCACUUUAAGUUGGGAGGAAGGGCAGUAAGUUAAUACCUUGCUGUUUUGACGUUACCAACAGAAUAAGCACCGGCUAACUUCGUG